CCUACGGGUGGCAGCAGUAGGGAAUGUUGCGCAAUGGGCGAAAGCCUGACGCAGCAACGCCGCGUGAGUGAGACGCCCUUCGGGGUGUAAAGAUCUGUCAGUGGGGACGAAACUUGACGGUACCCACAGAGGAAGCACCGGCUAACUCCGGGCCAGCAGCCGCGGUAAUACGGGGGGUGCAGGCGUUGUCCGGAAUCAUUGGGCGUAAAGAGUUCGUAGGCGGCAGGGAAAUUCUGGUGUUAAAGGCAGAGGCUCAACUUCUGUACGGCAUUGGAUACUUGCGAGCUAGAAUGCGGUAGAGGUAAAGGGAAUUCCUGGGGUAGCGGGGAAAUGCUUAGAUAUCAGGAGGAACAUCGGUGGCGUACGCGCUUUACUGGGCCGUAAUUGACGCUGAGGAACGAAAGCCAGGGUAGCAAAUGGGAUUAGAUACCCUUGUAGUC
Molecule: ribosomal RNA, 440 nt
Filed under: uncultured bacterium
Lineage: Bacteria
Description: partial 16S ribosomal RNA
Rfam family: Bacterial small subunit ribosomal RNA
Source: RNAcentral